GUCACUUCUUGGCAUUUUGGCUAAGAUCAAGUGUAGUAACUGUUAUCAGCAGAAGUGGGGGGUCCUGCUGACAGACAGAACAACCUUGAUGCUUUGGCCAGGGGGCUGGACACUAUGGUGCCCAACCAUUUUUGUGCCCUAGGCUUUGUACCCCUGGGAGCCUUAGGGUGAACACA
This 176-nucleotide small nuclear RNA is filed under the name Xenopus tropicalis (tropical clawed frog). Its description in RNAcentral is "U2 spliceosomal RNA (ENSXETG00000043552.1)". It matches the Rfam family "U2 spliceosomal RNA". From Rfam's summary of the family: U2 is a small nuclear RNA (snRNA) component of the spliceosome (involved in pre-mRNA splicing). Complementary binding between U2 snRNA (in an area lying towards the 5' end but 3' to hairpin I) and the branchpoint sequence (BPS) of the intron results the bulging out of an unpaired adenosine, on the BPS, which initiates a nucleophilic attack at the intronic 5' splice site, thus starting the first of two transesterification reactions that mediate splicing. The record is from Rfam by way of RNAcentral. Lineage: Eukaryota; Metazoa; Chordata; Amphibia; Anura; Pipidae.